AAGACUAUACUUUCAGGGAUCAUUUCUAUAGUUUCAGACUUGAGAGAUGUGUUUCUAAAGUGCUUGGUCUUGCUAACCACGAUGAUGAGUCCUGGUAUUCCCUUCUGAGCGAGAAGCUGACGGAGAGCGAUGAUUAACUUCAUGUUCUCUGUCAUUGAUGUUUGUUCUGUAUUUCUCCAUGAAGUACAGAUGAAGGGAGUAUGAUCAGAGUGGU
Small nucleolar RNA from Acanthopagrus latus (yellowfin seabream), 214 nucleotides. RefSeq annotates it as small nucleolar RNA U3. The record is from RefSeq and is a predicted model, not a curated record. The transcript has a single exon. NCBI's taxonomy places the organism in Eukaryota, Metazoa, Chordata, Actinopteri, Spariformes, Sparidae.